UGAGUAACCUGCCCUUAACUCUGGGAUAAGCCUGGGAAACUGGGUCUAAUACCGGAUAUGACUCCUCAUCGCAUGGUGGGGGGUGGAAAGCUUUUUGUGGUUUUGGAUGGACUCGCGGCCUAUCAGCUUGUUGGUGAGGUAAUGGCUCACCAAGGUGACGACGGGUAGCCGGCCUGAGAGGGUGACCGGCCACACUGGGACUGAGACACGGCCCAGACUCCUACGGGAGGCAG
Molecule: ribosomal RNA, 233 nt
Filed under: uncultured bacterium
Lineage: Bacteria
Description: partial 16S ribosomal RNA
Rfam family: Bacterial small subunit ribosomal RNA
Source: RNAcentral